RNAcentral lists this ribosomal RNA (342 nucleotides) under Laiopteryx novaezeelandiae (yellow-dappled flounder). RNAcentral's name for it is "partial 12S ribosomal RNA". It matches the Rfam family "Bacterial small subunit ribosomal RNA", at positions 853 to 1359 of the family's 1533-position model. Lineage: Eukaryota; Metazoa; Chordata; Actinopteri; Pleuronectiformes; Citharidae. The record is from RNAcentral.
AAACCCUGAUUAUAAUCCGCCUGGGUAUUACGAACAUAGUUUAAAACCCAAAGGACCUGGCGGCGCUUUAUACCACCUAGAGGAGCCUGUCCUGUAACCGAUAACCCCCGUUAAACCUCACCUUUUCUAGCACUAGACAGUCCGUAUACCGCCGUCUUCAGCACGCCCCCUAAGGGAAAUAUAGCUGGCAAAAUUGGACACAUCCCAAGACGUCAGGUCGAGGUGCCGCUUAUGAAAAGGGAUGAGAUAGGCUACAUUCACUAAUUAAUAGUGCACACGAAUAAUGCAUUGAAACAUGCUAUAGAAGGAGGAUUUAGAAGUAAGUGUAAAAUAGAGAAUCCA